CGUAACAAGGUCUCCGUAGGUGAACCUGCGGNNNGAUCAUUACAAGAACGCCCGGGCUUCGGCCUGGUUAUUCAUAACCCUUUGUUGUCCGACUCUGUUGCCUCCGGGGCGACCCUGCCUUCGGGCGGGGGCUCCGGGUGGACACUUCAAACUCUUGCGUAACUUUGCAGUCUGAGUAAACUUAAUUAAUAAAUUAAAACUUUUAACAACGGAUCUCUUGGUUCUGGCAUCGAUGAAGAACGCAGCGAAAUGCGAUAAGUAAUGUGAAUUGCGGAAUUCAGUGAAUCAUCGAAUCUUUGAACGCACAUUGCGCCCCCUGGUAUUCCGGGGGGCAUGCCUGUUCGAGCGUCAUUUCACCACUCAAGCCUCGCUUGGUAUUGGGCAACGCGGUCCGCCGCGUGCCUCAAAUCGUCCGGCUGGGUCUUCUGUCCCCUAAGCGUUGUGGAAACUAUUCGCUAAAGGGUGUUCGGGAGGCUACGCCGUAAAACAACCCCAUUUCUAAGGUUGACCUCGGAUCAGGUAGGGAUACCCGCUGAACUUAAGCAUAUCA
RNAcentral lists this ribosomal RNA (550 nucleotides) under uncultured fungus. RNAcentral's name for it is "eukaryotic LSU rRNA". The stretch from base 198 to 351 matches the Rfam family "5.8S ribosomal RNA". Lineage: Eukaryota; Fungi. The record is from RNAcentral.